Ornithodoros turicata is the source of this 617-nucleotide long non-coding RNA. RefSeq lists it as uncharacterized. The transcript is spliced from 2 exons. NCBI's taxonomy places the organism in Eukaryota, Metazoa, Arthropoda, Arachnida, Ixodida, Argasidae. The record is from RefSeq and is a predicted model, not a curated record.
CAUGGAAAGCGUACUUCCAACCAUUGCUCCAUUUUUACCUGGUUGGUUGCAGCACUGCAUUGUGCUUUACGAGGAGCAUCCCAUAAGGUCUCUGCCUGACACAGGUGUACGCACACAGACAUGAAACUGCAUACAGGGAAGCAAAAUGAAGCGGUGACUAUUGAAGUAGCAGUCUGUCUUGUGCAAGUCGAAAUAAUGAAGACAGAUGAGAAAGCAGUGAUUUUCACAGACAUCCAAGUAGGACUGGAAACUUUGUUAACACAGGCACUCUCCAACACUGCUGCCACCAGAAAUGGUGUGUGUGCACUGCACAGUCUUCCUGCUGCAGCAACUGGCUGGUGGCGAUCUGCGCAGUUGAGCUACAGUGGAGAAAAUGAAGGACGUGGUGAAGAUGCUGAGGGAGGAUGCCAUCCUAUAGCAUGGUGAAGAAGUGGGCCAUGGAAUUCAUGUGAAGAUGAGAUAAUACCCAAAGUGCCCCACAGGACCCAACAUGUGCAUAAUGCAAGGGGCCUGAGGAAAUAUACAGUUUCGCUAGCUAUGCCAGGAUUGCUGCAUGUCCCUCCUGGUCCACAUUCCAGCUGUCUGUGAGCAGCAAGUGAUAAAGGCAGAAACAAGUA